RNAcentral lists this ribosomal RNA (120 nucleotides) under uncultured bacterium. RNAcentral's name for it is "partial 16S ribosomal RNA". It matches the Rfam family "Bacterial small subunit ribosomal RNA", at positions 28 to 148 of the family's 1533-position model. The record is from RNAcentral.
GAUGAACGCUGGCGGCGUGCUUAACACAUGCAAGUCGAACGUGAUCCCGCAGCAAUGUGGGUGAAAGUGGCAAACGGGUGAGGAACACGUAGAUAACCUGCCUCGCAGUGGGGGAUAACC